AGGGUGUAAACGCUGCGGACUUGGUGUUGGAAGCCCUUUGGGGGCAUUCAGUGCCGGAGAGAAGUUGUUAAGUCUGCUACUUGGGGAGUACGUCCGCAAGGAUGAAACUUAAAGGAAUUGGCGGGGGGAGCACCGCAACGGGAGGAGCGUGCGGUUUAAUUGGAUUCAACACCGUAAAACUCACCAGGGAAGACUGUUACAUGAAGGCCGAGAUGAAGACUCUGCUAGAUUUUCAGAGAGGUGGUGCAUGGCGUCAGUGACU
Molecule: ribosomal RNA, 262 nt
Filed under: uncultured archaeon
Lineage: Archaea
Description: partial 16S ribosomal RNA
Rfam family: Archaeal small subunit ribosomal RNA
Source: RNAcentral